GAUGAACGCUGGCGGCGUGCCUAAUACAUGCAAGUCGAACGCACCGCAAGGUGAGUGGCGAACGGGUGAGUAAGACGUAAGUAACCUGGCCUAGACAGGGGGAUAACUGUUGGAAACGACAGCUAAGACCGCAUAGGUAUAUGUAUCGCAUGAUAGAUAUAUAAAAAGUGCUACGGGACUGGUAGAGGAUGGACUUACGGCGCAUUAGCUAGUUGGUGAGGUAGAGGCUCACCAAGGCGACGAUGCGUAGCCGACCUGAGAGGGUGGACGGCCACACUGGGACUGAGACACGGCCCAG
Molecule: ribosomal RNA, 298 nt
Filed under: uncultured bacterium
Lineage: Bacteria
Description: partial 16S ribosomal RNA
Rfam family: Bacterial small subunit ribosomal RNA
Source: RNAcentral